AACACAGAGAUAUCAGUUUUAAAACAUGAUUAUCGAUAUCUCUGCUUCAAACCUCAAAAAUGCGGCAUACAUAAGCAAUUAACCCAUUCCAAUUUAUUGUUUAAACAUUACGCAUCAAUUACUUCGACAAAUAAUCAUUCAACGGUCUAGUUAACAAUUCAAUAUUGCAAAAUCGUGUUCGAGCAAAUAACGCCAAUCCAUCCUCAAGUUCAUGAACCUAAGCAUAACAAUAACAUGUAAUCCUUAUAAAC
RNAcentral lists this long non-coding RNA (251 nucleotides) under Gossypium barbadense (sea-island cotton). RNAcentral's name for it is "long non-coding RNA (GBAR_LNC004457)". Lineage: Eukaryota; Viridiplantae; Streptophyta; Magnoliopsida; Malvales; Malvaceae. The record is from RNAcentral.